CAGAGUUCGUGCCCUCGCGGGUAGAUCUCCCACCCUUUGUGUAUUUUCAUGCCUUUGUUGCUUUGGCAGGCCGCUGGGCUUCGGCCUGGCCACCGGCUCCCCGGGGCUGGUGCGCGCCUGCCAGAGGAUCUCCAAAACUCGGUUUGUCAGUGUCGUCUGAGUACCAUACAAUCGUUA
RNAcentral lists this unclassified non-coding RNA (177 nucleotides) under uncultured Scytalidium. RNAcentral describes it as "sequence contains ITS1". The record is from RNAcentral. Lineage: Eukaryota; Fungi; Ascomycota.